UCCGAGUUGACCCCGGCAGUCUCCCCAGAGUCCCCGCCCGGGUCUCCCCUGCGCUGGUAACUGAGGACAAGGGUUGCGCUCGUUGCGGGACUUAACCCAACAUCUCACGACACGAGCUGACGACAGCCAUGCAGCACCUGUGCUUCUGUCCCGAAGGAGGCCGGUGGUUUCUCACCGGUUUCAGAAGCAUGUCAAGCCUAGGUAAGGUUCUUCGCGUUGCGUCGAAUUAAACCACAUGCUCCGCCGCUUGUGCGGGUCCCCGUCAAUUCCUUUGAGUUUUAGCCUUGCGGCCGUACUCCCCAGGCGGGGCGCUUAAUGCGUUAGCUACGGCACGGAUCCCGUGGAAGGAAACCCACACCUAGCGCCCACCGUUUACGGCGUGGACUAC
This 388-nucleotide unclassified non-coding RNA is filed under the name uncultured Actinomycetes bacterium. Its description in RNAcentral is "uncultured actinobacterium contains 16S-23S intergenic spacer region". Lineage: Bacteria; Bacillati; Actinomycetota; Actinomycetes. The record is from RNAcentral.